Molecule: non-coding RNA, 1266 nt
Organism: Danio rerio (zebrafish)
Lineage: Eukaryota; Metazoa; Chordata; Actinopteri; Cypriniformes; Danionidae
Source: RefSeq, a predicted model, not a curated record
AUAUCUGCAAGUGAUGAGUAUUUUCAUAAUAAAUGAAUCAGGUAAUUAGUGUUGUGGAUCUGUUGGGUUUCAGAUGUUAGAUGUUGUAUCUGAGCUCUGCAGGAUAGUGCUUGAAGAUCUCCGCUUUACACUUCAGGCCACAAUAGAUUCUAUGCACGAACUCUGCUGACGUAUUUCCGGUAGAAAAUAAGCCUGUUUCUUUGCUUCCGCAUAACGUGUUCUAAAGUGAAAUCUUACAGCGGCGAAACCUAAACACGUUCGGAGCAUGGCAAACAAGGGAGAUUUACACAUAAAUUAGUGAGGAUCCUGUGCCAGUGGUUGCCCAGCAUCUGGAACAUCAUUAUUGUUCAGUUCCACAACGAACGGCAGAUGAUUAAUGCACCGGAUCAGGCUGACAAGUCUCCGUGAGGAGGUGGAGAGACUGCUUCCCUGCUGCUUUUGGUGUUAUACAGCUCUAAAGGUACACAACUUGCAUCCUACAACAUCCAGAGUAAGCGCAACUGUGAGGGAGACAUCGUCCAUGGCAUGGCUGAGGGUCCACACUGAGCAUCUCAUCCGCAGCAUGAAGCAACACAAGCUGGACAGUCAUCAUCUUUUUCUAUUACACCAAGCACCAACCAGAUUUAUACAAUGGCCUGCCUUCUGCGCAUUAGUAAAAGCUUGAGCUAAAUAAUAAAGUGUUCACACACUGUACAUAAUUUAUAUGUUGUUGUCUGCACUGCAGGAAUGUAAAGUUGUCUAUAUAAUAAACAUUAAUUUUCAGCAUAUUCAUUUAAACAUAUAUUACAGAACAAUUUGAGUGAACAAUUGCUCUAACUAAUGUAAAUAUAAAUCAUUUUAGAUACUUGCACUGCAGGUGUAAAUAAGCAGGGUAUUAUGUGCAUAGAGAAAUAUGCAAUGCUUACCUCCAUCAAAUGUACUGCCUCUGUCUUUUGACAAAAAUCAGGCAGGCAACUACCGUCAGACCCCAAGUGAUGCUCAAGCACUGGUUGUAUUUAAUUACAUUUAAUCUUAGCCUUUUUAAAAACGAAUGUUUUUAAUAAAAGAUUACAAGAAUAAUGCAAAAUGCAUUUGUUUCAAGUCACAAAAAUGUAAUGAAUGGGAUACUAACUCCAACUCAUUUUGAACAAGGAAAACCCUUAAAAUAUGUAAAUAUAAGUAACUAGACACUUGCACUGCAGUAUAAAUAUAUACAGUUUGACACAAUUUUAAACAUUUCCCUUACAGCGAUGUGUUAAAAUACAACAUUAAACAAUUGUUAAAUAA